RNAcentral lists this long non-coding RNA (1191 nucleotides) under Cyanistes caeruleus (blue tit). RNAcentral's name for it is "lncRNA (ENSCCEG00000005553.1)". Lineage: Eukaryota; Metazoa; Chordata; Aves; Passeriformes; Paridae. The record is from RNAcentral.
AUGGCUGGAAUUGCUGAUCCUGUGAUUCCUUGUGCCUGGAUCACAGCAGAGCCCUGGGCUCAGACUGCAGCUGUCCCACAGGGAACGCUCCCCACACGCUCCUGCCCCUUCUUUGGAGCUGGUUUGAACCAACAAACCCGGUUUAAAUUGUCAUUUACUCAGAGCCAUCCGCUGGGAAUCUCCUGGGCUGUGCUGCAUUCCCGGGAUGGGGAGAUCCCCGGGAUCCUGCCGGGCUCUGGAGGCACAGCCUGGCAGCUCCAGGGAAUGCUGGCCUUGCCUGGGGGAGCCCAGGGCACAGAGGGGAGCCUGGAGCCUGCCUGGGGCUGCUGGGGCACCUCUGGGGCUGCUGGGCUGGCAGGGGGGGCACCGCACCCAGGGCAUCCCAAAAACACCCACUGCACCCCAAAAACACCCACUGCAUCCCAAAAACACCCAGGGCAUCCCAAAAACACCCAGGGCAUCCCAAAAACACCCAGGGCAUCCCAGGGCAUCCCAAAAACACUCACUGCAUCCCAAAAACACUCACUGCAUCCCAAAAACACCCAGGGCAUCCCAAAAACACUCACUGCAUCCCAAAAACACCCACUGCAUCCCAAAAACACUCACUGCAUCCCAAAAACACCCAGCUGCAUCCCAAAAACACCCAGGGCAUCCCAAAAACACCCAGGGCAUCCCAAAAACACCCACUGCAUCCCAAAAACACCCAGGGCAUCCCAAAAACACCCACUGCAUCCCAAAAACACCCACUGCAUCCCAAAAACACCCACUGCAUCCCAAAAACACCCACUGCAUCCCAAAAACACCCAGGGCAUCCCAAAAGCACCCAGCUGCAUCCCAAAAACACCCACUGCAUCCCAAAAACACCCACUGCAUCCCAAAAACACCCACUGCAUCCCAAAAACACCCAGGGCAUCCCAAAAACACCCACUGCAUCCCAAAAACACCCACUGCAUCCCAAAAACACCCACUGCACCCCACUGCACCCCACUGCCUCCCAGCACUCCCAGCACUCCCAGGCAUCCCCUGGCCCGUGGGCCCUGUCCCCGCAGUAAUUCCCGGCGGGAUGAGGCUCCCGGGGGAGGAAGGGCUGGAGCAGCCCUGGCAGGAGCUCUGUGCUCCCUUAAUGCCUCCCUGACCUGCUUUGCCCCUAAGGAGCUUUUCCUCCAGGGCUGCGAUUUCCAGCCUCACUGA